AUGCAUGCCGCUGCAGCAAAUAGAAAUCUAACAACCAUCAACACAUCUAAAGAAGCCCACUUGAACAUGAAAAUCUUUUCAAAAACCUUGAGCUCCCAAGAUUUGAAAUUGCCUGGCUCAUCCCCCUGCAAACCCUCUCCGUUCACCAAGCGACCUUACUGCUCGGGGAAGCCGCGGACAGAGAGGAGGAGCAAUAUCAGCAAGCUUAGGCCGGAGAACAGCGCCGUCGGCGAGCUCGGGGGCGGGGGCUCGUUCCUGGGGGAGGGGAGGCGAGCGGGAGGAGGGGACGCGCUGAGGUCGGAGGCAGAGAUGAACCAGCAACGGUGA
This 327-nucleotide ribosomal RNA is filed under the name Triticum aestivum (bread wheat). RNAcentral describes it as "partial small subunit ribosomal RNA". The record is from RNAcentral. Lineage: Eukaryota; Viridiplantae; Streptophyta; Magnoliopsida; Poales; Poaceae.